GAACGCACAUUGCGCCCGCUAGUACUCUGGCGGGCAUGCCUGUCCGAGCGUCAUUUCAACCCUCGAGCCCGUCUCGGUGUUGGGGGCCCCACGGCCGCGAGGCCGCCCCCGAAAUGCAUUGGCGACCCCGCCGCGGCCUCCCCUGCGCAGUAGCUCCCAGAGAACCUCGCACCGGAAACGCGGAGGCGGUCACGCCGUAGAACAACUCUCCUCCUGGAAGUUGACCUCGGAUCAGGUAGGGAUACCCGCUGAACUUAAG
Molecule: unclassified non-coding RNA, 259 nt
Filed under: Hirsutella rhossiliensis
Lineage: Eukaryota; Fungi; Ascomycota; Sordariomycetes; Hypocreales; Ophiocordycipitaceae
Description: sequence contains 5.8S rRNA gene
Rfam family: 5.8S ribosomal RNA (bases 1-53)
Source: RNAcentral